This 408-nucleotide unclassified non-coding RNA is filed under the name Hevea brasiliensis (rubber tree). Lineage: Eukaryota; Viridiplantae; Streptophyta; Magnoliopsida; Malpighiales; Euphorbiaceae. The record is from RNAcentral.
AAUUAACUUCGAUGAGGUUGUUGAUAAAACAAGGAAAUAUGGUGCAGUGGCUGUAUUAGCCAUAGAUUCGGCUAGCUUACCAAUGGGAUGCAAACGCAUUAGAUUUCUCGACAUUAUUGAACCCUAUCCUUAGAAGCACUUGCUUGCAAGAAGGCAGUUUUGUUGGCUCAAUCCAGAGGUUUUAAGCAAGUUAUCUUCGAAAGGGACUCUCUAGCGGUCAUCCACGCAACUAAAAGUUCCACUUGCUUGCUGUCUAUUGAUGGAAUCAUGCAAGAUGUAUUGCAUUUAAUUUCUCAAUUUUAUAGGAGCUCCUUGUUCAUGUAAAUAGGAUAAGGAAUUCAGCAGCGCACACUCUAGCUACGAAGUGCUCACAUGAUGAUUCCUUCUAUUGUAAUUCUUUGACCCCAG